This 94-nucleotide ribosomal RNA is filed under the name Bernardia nicaraguensis. RNAcentral describes it as "partial 26S ribosomal RNA". It matches the Rfam family "Eukaryotic large subunit ribosomal RNA", at positions 1 to 95 of the family's 3401-position model. Lineage: Eukaryota; Viridiplantae; Streptophyta; Magnoliopsida; Malpighiales; Euphorbiaceae. The record is from RNAcentral. RNAcentral also lists the same sequence under 1 other name.
GACCCCAGGUCAGGCGGGACUACCCGCUGAGUUUAAGCAUAUCAAUAAGCGGAGGAAAAGAAACUUACCAGGAUUCCCCUAGUAACGGCGAGCG